Molecule: ribosomal RNA, 30 nt
Filed under: Gymnopus aff. moseri AWW10
Lineage: Eukaryota; Fungi; Basidiomycota; Agaricomycetes; Agaricales; Omphalotaceae
Description: partial 28S ribosomal RNA
Source: RNAcentral
UUAACCUCAAAUCAGGUAGGACUAGCCGCU